AUUACUGGGCGUAAAGCGUGCGCAGGCGGCUCUUUAAGUCAGGUGUGAAAUCCCUGGGCUUAACCURGGAAYKGCRYUUGARACUGGCUGGCUAGAGUGCGGCAGAGGGGGRUGGAAUUCCUCGUGUAGCAGUGAAAUGCGUAGAUAUGCGGAGGAACACCGAUGGCGAAGGCAAYCCCCUGGGCCURYACUGACGCUCAUGCACGAAAGCGUGGGGAGCAAACAGGAUUAGAUACCCUGGUAGUCCACGCCCUAAACGAUGUCGACUGGUUGUUGGGGGAGU
RNAcentral lists this ribosomal RNA (283 nucleotides) under uncultured bacterium. Its description in RNAcentral is "partial 16S ribosomal RNA". It matches the Rfam family "Bacterial small subunit ribosomal RNA", at positions 550 to 832 of the family's 1533-position model. The record is from RNAcentral.